ACGGGGGGACUCCUACGGGAGGCAGCAGUAGGGAAUCUUCCACAAUGGACGAAAGUCUGAUGGAGCAACGCCGCGUGAGCGAUGAAGGCCUUCGGGUCGUAAAGCUCUGUUGUUAGGGAAGAACAAGUACCGGAGUAACUGCCGGUACCUUGACGGUACCUAACCAGAAAGCCACGGCUAACUACGUGCCAGCAGCCGCGGUAAU
This 205-nucleotide ribosomal RNA is filed under the name uncultured Bacillus sp. RNAcentral describes it as "partial 16S ribosomal RNA". It matches the Rfam family "Bacterial small subunit ribosomal RNA", at positions 326 to 524 of the family's 1533-position model. Lineage: Bacteria; Bacillati; Bacillota; Bacilli; Caryophanales; Bacillaceae. The record is from RNAcentral.